CCCAGUCCUCGUCCAAGUCGAGCUCCAACACUCAUCCCAGACUGCGGAUUGGAAAGUGAUCCACUGCUUGUUGAAAAGUCUUUUUCUAGAGUUUCAACUGCUAUUGAGAUGUUUUGGAUGCAGCAUACAGUGGAGCUGCUAUUCCACCAGCUACUGCCGUACCGAUUCCCACUCCUGUUACUAUCAGAGAUGCUCCGAGAGUGAAGGGAGCCAGAAUGAGUCCCACCACGGAUGUGAUUCCUCCAGCCAGACCGACUACACCUCCUGUGAGACUGCUGACGGUUGUGUUGAAGUGGACCAUCUCCAAUCCUUCUGCCAACUUUCUUAGUACAUCUAGAAUCUUAUAAAGCUCAAUGAUGUUUUUAACACUCUGAAAAACAAUCAAAUGGUAAAAAUUAGGCCUGCAUGAUUAAUCUAACGUGGUUGUCAUGCGAUCUUUCAAUCUAGAAGAGUUCUGAGAUCAGUGGUAUCUCCAUACAAAGACUAGAGGGCGCUUAAAUACAAAUAUGUCCCGCACAACAAAGAUUAUGCACCUCAAAUUGACGAGGAGCUGUGGAACACUGUUUUAGCCAAAAUUAACUAUAGUGCUCGCUUAAAUCUCUUCAGUUUAAAGUUGUUUACAGAAUUCAUUUCACUAAAGCAAAUAAAAUAAAAAAACUUUUAUCAGAA
Molecule: long non-coding RNA, 669 nt
Organism: Puntigrus tetrazona (Sumatra barb)
Lineage: Eukaryota; Metazoa; Chordata; Actinopteri; Cypriniformes; Cyprinidae
Exons: 2
Source: RefSeq, a predicted model, not a curated record